UGCCGACGGUGCCGUGUGAUACGGCGAUGCCAUGAGAAGUGGCAUGGCGUGACAGUGUUGGAGCAUCACAAGCUAUACGUCGAGCCGGUUGAGCCGGAUAGCCGAUAGUCAUAGGUGCAUGUAGUUUGCUUGGGCUAAUUAGUGGCCGGGUCGCUAGAGUGAUUCUAGGAGAGGAAGACCAGGUUAGCCGUUGGUACCAAGGUUAGUGCAUGAGUUAGUUAGUGCAUGUGCAAGUGUUGGCCGAGUCAAGUGUGAUGGCCGGUGUGAGUGCAUGCGUGCAUGGAGGUAGUGGGCAUGAGUAGUGCCUAGAGAGUUGGAGUUAGUGGCCAGAUGUGGCUGCCGAGUGGUGCGUGAUGGUUAGCUCCCAGUGUAUAUAUAAGUUCAGCCAAUGAAUGAGAAAAUAAAGGCCAUGAGGGCUGAGGAAAAUAUGUAGCCUGUGUGUUCGCCAAGGAGAAGAGCCUAUGGCAAAGCAUUUGUGCUCCUUCUUGGUCCAUGUGUGUGUGUUUUCUUGUGUUCUUGAGAGAAGAAGAUAGAGAGAGAAACCACAAGAGAGUUGUGUGAGGCAGCUCGAGGUAGAAGAAGAGCGGCGCUGCGAGAGCUGGCGCCAACAAUUGGUAUACAGAGCCAGGUUGAUCCGAGGCCGCGACGGCGGCGCAGUCGACUCCAUGUGAGGUGGAGGAUGAUGGUGCGAUGCUGCUGGUGUCCGGUUGCGGUACAAUGCCGCGAGGUGAUGAUGGUGUGGUGAUCGGCGCAGCAAUGGCGCUGUCCAAGUCAAGAGGAGGAUAGCCACGUGCGGCAAGUUGGCGUGGUGGCGGGCGCUGCGACCGUGUCGACCACGGCAAGAUGGUUUGUGGUGAUUGGCGCUGCGACGGGGUCGUCCACGGCAAGAUGGUGCGGGUGAUCCACUUCGAAGAUUGCCGAGUUAGGAUGACAAGAUUAGGGAGGUGAUUGUUAGAAAUAAUCUUGUCAUGAUGUAUCAUGUUUUGUUUUGUCGUUCGGCAUGUAGCUUAGGGAGUAGCUUGUCAGGGCAAAGCUUCAGUUGUGCGCACGAAGGAGGCGAGAUGCCGCGGGGCCGUGUGAUGCGGCGAGAGAGAUGAGAUGCCGACGGUGCCGUGUGAUACGGCGAUGCCAUGAGAAGUGGCAUGGCGUGACAGUGUUGGAGCAUCACAAGCUAUACGUCGAGCCGGUUGAGCCGGAUAGCCGAUAGUCAUAGGUGCAUGUAGUUUGCUUGGGCUAAUUAGUGGCCGGGUCGCUAGAGUGAUUCUAGGAGAGGAAGACCAGGUUAGCCGUUGGUACCAAGGUUAGUGCAUGAGUUAGUUAGUGCAUGUGCAAGUGUUGGCCGAGUCAAGUGUGAUGGCCGGUGUGAGUGCAUGCGUGCAUGGAGGUAGUGGGCAUGAGUAGUGCCUAGAGAGUUGGAGUUAGUGGCCAGAUGUGGCUGCCGAGUGGUGCGUGAUGGUUAGCUCCCAGUGUAUAUAUAAGUUCAGCCAAUGAAUGAGAAAAUAAAGGCCAUGAGGG
This 1515-nucleotide long non-coding RNA is filed under the name Triticum aestivum (bread wheat). RNAcentral describes it as "long non-coding RNA (TAES_LNC024626)". The record is from RNAcentral. Lineage: Eukaryota; Viridiplantae; Streptophyta; Magnoliopsida; Poales; Poaceae.